AGAGUUUGAUCCUGGCUCAGGACGAACGCUGGCGGCGUGCCUAAUACAUGCAAGUCGAGCGAGCGGAACCGACAGAUUUACUUCGGUAAUGACGUUGGGAAAGCGAGCGGCGGAUGGGUGAGUAACACGUGGGUAACCUGCCCAAGAGACUGGGAUAACAUUUGGAAACAGAUGCUAAUACCGGAUAAGAAAGCAGAUCGCAUGAUCAGCUUAUAAAAGACGGAUUUCUGUCACUCUUGGAUGGACCUGCGGUGCAUAGCUAGUUGGUAAGGUAACGGCUUACCAAGGCGACGAUGCAUAGCCGAGUUGAGAGACUGAUCGGCCACAUUGGGACUGAGACACGGCCCAAACUCCUACGGGAGGCAGCAGUAGGGAAUCUUCCACAAUGGACGCAAGUCUGAUGGAGCAACGCCGCGUGAGUGAAGAAGGUUUUCGGAUCGUAAAGCUCUGUUAUUGGUGAAGAAAGAUAGAGGUAGUAACUGGCCUUUAUUUGACGGUAAUCAACCAGAAAGUCACGGCUAACUACGUGCCAGCAGCCGCGGUAAUACGUAGGUGGCAAGCGUUGUCCGGAUUUA
RNAcentral lists this ribosomal RNA (575 nucleotides) under uncultured Lactobacillus sp. Its description in RNAcentral is "bacterial SSU rRNA". It matches the Rfam family "Bacterial small subunit ribosomal RNA", at positions 8 to 553 of the family's 1533-position model. Lineage: Bacteria; Bacillati; Bacillota; Bacilli; Lactobacillales; Lactobacillaceae. The record is from RNAcentral.